RNAcentral lists this long non-coding RNA (2684 nucleotides) under Brassica rapa (field mustard). RNAcentral's name for it is "long non-coding RNA (BRAP_LNC008115)". The record is from RNAcentral. Lineage: Eukaryota; Viridiplantae; Streptophyta; Magnoliopsida; Brassicales; Brassicaceae.
GCGGUUGCGAGGGAUUAUUUAUAAUUUAUGUUUUUAGAUUACAAUUUUAUGAUUUAAUGACAUUUUACAAACUUUACUGCCAAAUUGCAUUUUUUGUUUUCGGUUUGAUUCCAGUUUAGUUGCAAUGUUUGAAUUCCAUUUUAAAAAGUAACCGUUCUGUUAUUUAUAAAUUUGGCUUUGGUUUGGGUUGGUUAUUUUAGUUUUUGGUUUGGUUCAAAUAACAGUCUUAAGAACCUGAUAAAAUUUCAAGUUGAGUUUGAGUGUCUCGGUAUGAAUAGGGAUAUGUAAUUUUCGAGUCGAUUAUGAUUUAGGUAGCUAUAUUUCCGUUUUUUUUCUUUGUUUUUUAUUUUAUUUUAUUUUAUUUUAUUGAAUAGUUUUAUACUUUAAAUAUGUUUAGAAAUUCUUUAUACUUCAAGAUUAUAUACCAAGUCAGAAUAUAUAUAUAUAUAUAUUAAUUACGUACAUAUAUCUUUUAAAGGUAAUAUGUAUAUUCUACAGUUGUGAUCAAAAUAAACCCAUAUCAUUUUGAAACAUUAAAUAUUUUUAUUCUAAAUAAGGAUUAAGUAGCUAUAUUCAAAAAAAAAUUAUAAAAAAUUUUGGAUCUGAAACUAUAAAAAAAAUUUCUUUUAUUUAUUUUUGUUUGUUUAUUUAAUUUUAAAUCAAGGGUAUUAGGGAUAUUUUACUCUUUAAUGAAUGUCAUUUUUGUGACUUUCUCCUUCUAGUUCCAUUUUUGAGACAAAAACUCUAAAGGUGCUAUUAUUGACAAUUGCCCUUUAAAUAAAUGUGUACAAAAUUCCUUCUGAAUUUUAAUGAAAAACUAGGAUAAGACUUGCGCCUUGCACAGAGUAAAUAUAUAUAUAAAUUAUUUAAGAAAUAUCGUAUGAAAAAAAAAUUAUAUUAUUGAUCAAAUUAAUAUAUUUGGCCCUUAAAAAAAUUAAAAAACUUUUUUGUUAAUUACAUAAUUUGUUUACUAAUGAACUGAUCUCAUUUUUAAAAAUAUUUUAGGUCAAAAAAUUACUUAUCGCAUAAAAACCUAACAUUUAGGUCGAAGAAUCUCAUGCCUACUAUUUGGUUACAAUGAAACUAUGUCAACUCGGUUUUAUAUCAUGAUUUAGCAAUUUAAAAGUUACUUAUGGUUAUGAGAAAUUUACGUUCACGUGCCAAUCCUAUUUAUCUUCGAUAUUUUUCACCUUUUUGUGUCAUUUUAGUUAUUGCUCGAUAUAAAUAUUGAUUUUUGAGUUUAUUUUCAUUUCUUUCUUUUAUUAUGGCAUGAUAUUUAGAAAAUGUUUAAGAUUCAAAAUUAUUAAAGAGAUACAUAAUUAGGUUAAGAUCUGCGUCUUGUGCAGAAUAAAUACUUAUUUUAUAUUUUUUCUGCAUAAUACGAAAUAAUAAAAUAAUAAUUAUAUAUUAAAUAACUAAUAAAUCAGUUACUAUUAUGUAAUAAAUUGGCUUGCACAUAUAAAUCAAAUCACCGCUCUUGUUUAUUCGCAACCAUUUUAGAAUAAAUAAAUCAAAUGACCGCUCUUAGGAGAUUCGUAUGAGAGUAACGAUGUACUCAUGUGUGAGGAUCAUCGUUAUCUCUUGAGGCUUAGAUAAUCUGUAAUCGACAUUGUUACGAGGUUUACAAGUAAUCGAUAAGUUCACCAGCUCAAACUUAUCAUCAGCACUAAGCAGAACCUACUGAGCAUAAAAGAACCCUAAAACAAUGAAGAAAUAUUUAAUAGGCAAUUGAAAUUAGAAACUCGAAACCUUUGGAUUUCAAAUAAACAAAACACUGAGAGUCUGAGACUCUGACCCUAAACGAUUAGCAAUAGGACGAUUACUACGCUAAUAUAUUUAAUAAGAAAAAAAAAUGCUCAAACGUCUUGUGGUCACGUCAGAUGCGCCUUUUGCGUGUCCUCAGUUCGAAAUCUGCUGGGGUACUUUUUUCACUUGUUUAAUUGCAUGGUAUUCGAACCCAGGUUCGCAGUGUAAGCGAUUAUAAACUUACCAUUGUGCUAGAAAGAACAUGUUUUCAGCAAUUAACUAUUUAUAUAAUCUUAUAUGGAUUAUGUUUUAUAAUUUUACUGUCAAAAAAAAAUUGUUAAUGAAAUGUGAAUUCAGCAACUUAUUCUCAAACGAAUAGAGUUAUGGAUUUAUUCUCAAACGAAAAGAGUUAUGGAUUGAUGGAUUCUUCAUGAUUCUUUAUGUUUAUAAUAAAUAUCUUCAAAACAAAUUAUAUAAUUUUUAAAAGAGAAAAAGACUAAAGAUAGCACCAAAACCAAGUUUCUGUUUCCAAACUAGCACUCAACGCUCAAAAUCACAAAAAUAGGUUUAGAGUUAAGGGGUGGGGUUUUGGAAUUAGGGUUUAAAAUUUUAUAAAAUAAAAAAUAAAUACUAAAAAAUUAAAAAUAAAAAUAAAAUUUAAAAACAAUUCCAAAAAGUAUUUUUGAAUUAUAAAAAGAAAAUUUGAAAAAAAAUUAAAAAAAUUUCAAAAAAAAAAAUUUCAAAAAAAAUUAUAAAAAAUUUUGAAUCUGAAACUAUAAAAAAAAUUUCUUUUAUUUAUUUUUGGUUUGUUUAUUUAAUUUUAAAUCAAGGGUAUUAGGGAUAUUUUACUCUUUAAUGAAUGUCAUUUUUGUGACUUUCUCCUUCUAGUUCCAUUUUUGAGACAAAAACUCUAAAGGUGCUAUUAUUGACAAUUGCCC